UACGUAGGUGGCAAGCGUUGUCCGGAAUUAUUGGGCUUAAAGCGCGCGCAGGUGGUUUCUUAAGUCUGAUGUGAAAGCCCACGGCUCAACCGUGGAGGGGCAUUGGAAACUGGGGAACUUGAGUGCAGAAGAGGAAAGUGGAAUUCCAAGUGUAGCGGUGAAAUGCGUAGAGAUUUGGAGGAACACCAGUGGCGAAGGCGACUUGCUGGUCUGUAACUGACACUGAGGCGCGAAAGCGUGGGGAGCGAACAGG
RNAcentral lists this ribosomal RNA (253 nucleotides) under uncultured bacterium. Its description in RNAcentral is "partial 16S ribosomal RNA". It matches the Rfam family "Bacterial small subunit ribosomal RNA", at positions 524 to 776 of the family's 1533-position model. The record is from RNAcentral.